This 825-nucleotide long non-coding RNA is filed under the name Lactuca sativa (garden lettuce). RNAcentral's name for it is "long non-coding RNA (LSAT_LNC003493)". Lineage: Eukaryota; Viridiplantae; Streptophyta; Magnoliopsida; Asterales; Asteraceae. The record is from RNAcentral.
AUGCUCCCACUAACAUGAUGAUUAUUAGCAUAACACUUAUGCUCCCACUAGCUUUGACAUGUACUCAGAAAUCAGCUGGACUUCUAGAAAUCAAUACUUCAUUGACUUUCUUACCAAAGUUCAGAUUUCUGAUACUAGAUUGUUUUGAUAAAACUUUAUCAAAAUCAUACACCUUCCCUUAGAUAGCACACUUGUGUGUCUAAACAAUUAUGAAGAGGUAUGCCGUAAUCAUAAUGGUUAGACCUUUUUGCCACUUCUCACAAGUCCAGGUUAGUGUGCCGGUUAACCACACACGCUCCACUAACGACUUUGAGAAUGCAAAUAUCACAAUUGCUAUCUAGAUAAAAUCUACUUAGUGAAAGUGUUUCCUCACCAUCAUUUUCAUGAAUCGGAGAGAAACCUUAUGACACUUAGAUUUAUAUGGUGUAUGAGUUCCUACCAAUAUGAAUUUGUCAAAACCAUAAUCACAAGACAAAGUUAGUGACAAAUCCAAACUCAUACGGAUUGAACUUGUGCAAUCUUAAGUUCUUGCCAUUUGGCAGCACAAGGGCCUGCCAUAGCUUCCAAGUAGCUGUGCAAUCAAUUUGAGGACUCUAAGAGCUCAUAUGCAAAGCUAACUUUAACUGGAAUGGGCACAUGAUUGUCAACACGAUAGGUUAUACACCUCAAGUCGUGUGCUAGUGAAUUCAAUUUGAGGACUCUAAGAGCUCAUAUGCAAAGCUAACUUUAACUGGAAUGGGCACAUGAUUGUCAACACGAUAGGUUAUACACCUCAAGUCGUGUGCUAGUGAAUACUUCAGGUUUUAUUCUUGAUUAGUUCUUGAG